RNAcentral lists this ribosomal RNA (449 nucleotides) under uncultured bacterium. RNAcentral describes it as "partial 16S ribosomal RNA". It matches the Rfam family "Bacterial small subunit ribosomal RNA", at positions 330 to 793 of the family's 1533-position model. The record is from RNAcentral.
UCCAGACUCCUACGGGAGGCAGCAGUGGGGAAUAUUGCACAAUGGGGGGGACCCUGAUGCAGCAAUGCCGCGUGAAGGAUGAAGGUUUUCGGAUUGUAAACUUCUUUUGUCAGGGACGAAGCAAGUGACGGUACCUGACGAAUAAGCCACGGCUAACUACGUGCCAGCAGCCGCGGUAAUACGUAGGUGGCAAGCGUUAUCCGGAUUUACUGGGUGUAAAGGGCGUGUAGGCGGGACUGCAAGUCAGAUGUGAAAACCACGGGCUCAACCUGUGGCCUGCAUUUGAAACUGUAGUUCUUGAGUACUGGAGAGGCAGACGGAAUUCCUAGUGUAGCGGUGAAAUGCGUAGAUAUUAGGAGGAACACCAGUGGCGAAGGCGGCCUGCUGGACGAUGACUGACGCUGAGGCUCGAAAGCGUGGGGAGCAAACAGGAUUAGAUACCCCAGUAC